This 253-nucleotide ribosomal RNA is filed under the name uncultured bacterium. Its description in RNAcentral is "partial 16S ribosomal RNA". It matches the Rfam family "Bacterial small subunit ribosomal RNA", at positions 524 to 776 of the family's 1533-position model. The record is from RNAcentral.
UACGUAGGGGGCAAGCGUUGUCCGGAAUCACUGGGCGUAAAGGGCGCGUAGGUGGUCUGAUAAGGGUGUGGUGAAAGCCCGGGGCUCAACCCCGGGUCGGCCGUGCCGACUGUUAGACUAGAGUGCUGUAGAGGCAGGUGGAAUUCCCGGUGUAGCGGUGGAAUGCGUAGAGAUCGGGAAGAACAUCAGUGGCGAAGGCGGCCUGCUGGGCUGUUGCUGACGCUGAGGCGCGACAGCGUGGGGAGCAAACAGG